Teleopsis dalmanni is the source of this 1080-nucleotide long non-coding RNA. RefSeq lists it as uncharacterized. The transcript has 6 exons. Lineage: Eukaryota; Metazoa; Arthropoda; Insecta; Diptera; Diopsidae. The record is from RefSeq and is a predicted model, not a curated record.
AAGUAUUGUUAGUUAUAGGUUGAGCAAGAAAUUACUAAAUUGGUAACAUAUACCUACAUAUAUAGACAAUGCUGAACUGAAUGCAAAUCGCUUGUUAAACAACAAAAUCAAGGCGUUCAUGUUUUGCGCUUAAGAAAAUUCAUGCAUUUGAUAAUGGAUCGGUCAAAACGUCCUAUAUUAGCCUUUUUCUUUGGAUUAAGUAAGAGAGCAAAUAUAAGGAAAAAGCAGAGCGAAGGUAAAUUCUCAUUCUCAUUUGAUUUAAGUUAGGUGAACUUGUGUCUACAAUACGAGUAUGAGUAUGGGUAUGGAUAUGCUUUCGUUUCAGAUACGAAUGCGAUAUCGCUUUGCAGAACUUAUUAAAUGAAUUCGUCGGAUUAGGAAGGUUAGAGCAUCCUUCCUUCCUUAAAAGCUCCGUUUUGUGUAUGAAAUUUACUCAGCUGAGUAACAUCUGAGGUACCGAUCACUGGAGUUAUUAAUAAUGAACAAUAAGUCAUGGUGUGAGAGUUACUUUGUAAUUCAUCAUACCUUUAAUAUAAUGGUUGAUCUAUGCACCAAACUCAAUUGAACAUCCGACAGAAAUAUGUUCUCGUUUGAUGGCGCUAUUAAGUUGAUAUGCAGCGACACGAUAGACAAUGUAGCAGAACUGUACUAAUGGUCACCCAUUCAAUUUAUUGUGAAUAACAAACCAUUUUGAAAUAUAACCUCUAGCGCAUGUUGUUCUGCAUUAUUGGACAUAAAGUGAUGAAUUCUAUAAUUUUGGAAUCUAAUAUGUAUAUCGAAAAUUUAGACAUAAUGUCAACUUUCUAUCUGUGCCCUAGGAAGCAUUGAAAUUAAAAAGUAAUUUGGAGUUUGGAGGUUGGCAGUGCAAUAGACGAUUAAAUAGAAGAAACUUGUUGUUUUGAAGAAAGAACCUUUACUUACAGCAAAAUAACUACAUACAUUUUGGUUUUCCCAGUUAUUUUCCACAGAAGUUUUUACAGGACUCAUACGCGAAAUCUAAGUAAAUGAUCUGUAGUGUUGCAGUUAAGGAUAACGAAAAGGAGCAUCUUAUUAAUUGGAGAUAACCAACCUAGAAUCAAG